CUCGUGUGACGCAGCGGUCCGUGCGCCCCCUGGUGGUCAGUGUGAAGAUCAGCAACUGCAAAAAUGUGUCCAACGGGAUUAAAAUACAACCGGAAAUAAAUGGAGUCAAACAGAACCAAGUUCAUAUGAUGACAUGGAGCUGUGAGUGACGGCAGCCGUGCGUCAGAGACCACGUGGCCUCGUCCUGGUUGGUCCUCAGCUGCAUCAGACGCCACUUCUCCUCAGGUUCACCAGAGGAAACAGCGCUGCACAAAAUGCUUUUCCUCCCAGCUGCUGCUCUGUGCUGCCUGUGUUCAGCACUGGUUGCCAUGGCAGCACAGCUGCGUCAGGAGGACUUAACGUUGACCAGGAGGCUGGGAGGAAGCGUCUCCUUCAGCUGUCGAGACACUGACCAGUGUGAUAGAGACUGGGUCUUCUGGUACCAGAAGAAACAAGCAGGAACGUUCAGAGUGAUUCUCUACAUUGAUAAGAAUAAUGGAAACAUAUAUAAAGGUUACAAUCAUCCUCAGAAAGAUGAUUUCUCAGCUGCAAACAUACAAAACGGCUGUGAGUUACAGAUCAAACAGGUUAAAGUGGAUCACGCUGCCUCCUACUACUGCUCCUGUUUGGUUGUUUCCCACAGUGAGACAUGAUUCAUGAAGCCUGAACAAAAAGCAGCAGCUGAACAGACGUCAGACAGGAGGAGACAGUGAAACCUCAGCACAGCUUCACACAGAUCUACUUCUACACUUCCAACUCUUCUCAACAUCCUUCUCCAUCUACCUCUAUAUUGGCAUCUUCUACACAUGUUCUCAUGUCGUCCUAUUUCCUGGCAGCUCCAUCUCCAACAUCCUUCUACCAGUAUGUUCACUCUCCCUCCUCUGCACACGUCCAAACCGUGAACCGUCCUCUGAUGAGCUGGUUCCUGGCUCUGUCCAACCUCGUCACUAAGGAGAAGCUCAGCAUCUUCAUCUCUGCUGCUCCACCUCUUCCUCACCGCUACCGUCUCUAACCCACAGAGCACAGCUCUCACCUCUGUCUUUACACCUGUCCUUUGAGUCUCACUGACACUCUGAAACACAACACUCCUGACACUUUCCUCCACCCGCUCCAACCCGCCUGCACUCACCUCCACCUUGAACUCCUCUGUCUGACCUACAGCUCAUCUCACCACCGUCACACUCCUCUCAUACACGUCCUGGACCACUCUGACUUCUCUGUCACCCCCACAGCCUCAUCCAGAACCACAGCUCCACCCUGUCCUCACCUUCUCUACAUCCACAGACACAAUGCAGCUCCUUCUGAUCAUCUCUGUACUUUUCCACCAACAUUCUCAGAGCAGACAUGACAUCAGUGGAGCUCUUAUGAGGCAGGAAACCACACUGCUGCUCACAAACCUCCACCUUCUUCCUGAGCCUGGCUUCCACUGCUCUUUUCCAUGGCUUCAUUGUGUGACUCAUCAGCUUUAUUCCUCUGUAGCUGCUGUAGUUCUGAGUGUCGCCCUUUUCUUAAAGAUCGGCACCAGAACGCUUCUCCUUCUCCUCAGGCAUCUUCUCGCUCUCUAGGAUCCUGUUGAACUAGUUAGAAACUCCACUGCUGUCUCUUCUAGACACUUCUACACCACAGGUGGCACCGACACAGACGUCACUGUCUUAAAACCCCUGUGGCUAGAUUGACCUGAAAUAAUGUGACCAACGGGAUGAAAAUACAACAACCCAACAUAAAUGGAGUUAAACAGUCAUUUUCAGACAGAGGCUGAGUGAACGAGGUGUGGACUCUGUGGAGCAGAGUCAUGGUCCCAGAGACGCUGUAGAAGCACAGACCCCCUGCUGUGCGGUCCAGGUAGACUCCUACUGUGGAGGACACGGGAGCGGAGAGGACGUCUGACGUUGUUGUACCAAUGUGGGAUGACAGUGGACUUCAGGAAGAACUGCCUUGUACCUUCUCAGCUCAGGGAGCUCAACCUGCCCCAGGAGCUGCUCUACUUCUAUACUGCCAUCAUCCAGUCUGUCCUCCACCUCCAUCACUGUGUGGGUUGGUUCAGCCACCAGGCAGGACAGACACAGACUGCAGCGGGUGGUCCGGUCAGCAGAGAAGAUCAUUGGGACUGAGCUUCCUUCUAUUGAACACCUGUACCGGACCAGACUCAGAGAACGGGCAGUCAGCAUCACACCCCAUACAUAAAGAGUUUGAACUAAUUUCCUCUGGCAGGCGUCACAGAGCCAUAGACACCAGAACCAGCAAAACCAGCAGAACCAGCAGACACAGAGUCAGCUUCUUUUCCUAGGCUGUGUCUGAGCUGAACUCCAUCACAUAGAGAGGACUCAGUAAAAAAUGUGAUGCAAUUUUAACUUAUUCUAUUCUAUUCUUUAUUUCCUUUAUGCAAAAAAUGUAAUAAUGUAUAUGUGUAUAUAACUGUGUGAAAUUGAUAUGUAAAUAAUUUCUGUUCAGUAUGAGCGUAUGAAAAGACAGACGGGAUGCAAUUCCUUGUUUGUCUUGUGCAAAUCUGGCGAAUAAAAACAAUUCUGAGAUAAUAGUAAAUAAUAAUAAUAAUAAUAAUAAUAAUAAUAAUAAUAAUAAUAAUAAUAAUAAUAAUAAUAAUAAUAAUAAUAAUAAUAAUAAUAAUAAUAAUAAUAAUGCGAUGGACUGGCGACCUGUCCAGGGUGUACCCUGCCUCUCGCCCAUAGCCAGCUGGGAUAGGCUCCAGCACCCCGUGACCCCGCACUAGGGAGUGAGCGGACAAGAAAAUGGAUGGAUGGAUGGAUGGAUAAUAAUAAGCGGGGGAGCUAGUUGUUAUGGGAAAAAUUGUCUCUUCCUUAUUUCUAUGUGUCUUCCGUUCUUCUAUGCAGUUAUUAUAUGAUUUAUGACUUAUGUUCUGCAAUUAAUAUCUUAUGUUUUGUCUUACUGUAUGCAUUUGACAUUUCACCUACAUUGUUCAAUGGUUGUCUCUGCCUGAUAGACUCUCAACUCUAGCUCUAAACCCAAGGUCGGGGAGUUGUGUCUCUGUCUGUUGAGACUUGGUGCUCCUUUCUCACAGAUAGUUGGACGUCAGCGAUGCAGGUGUGAGAAAGUAAAAAUCUUCACACACACUGCGACAGGGAGGAGAUGGUGCAUGUAAUUUGAUUGGGUUGGAAAGACAUUCCACCCUAGUCGGACAGAGAAGCUAAAAGGCAGAAGCAACUUGAGGAUCGUGGGCUCUUUGCAUCACACCUUCGUGGUGUGUGCACUGAUCUCCCCAGCUGGUUUUUGGUUUGUUGAUGUGCACGAUCAACAUCCAUGCUUUUUAUUUGCUUUCCCCAUUAUUUUUAUUUUCUUUAUUAUUUCAAUAAAUCGCACAAAAGGACAACUCUCUCUCAUCUACUUCUUUAUGGAAAAUUUCCACCACAGAAAUUGGCGUCUACGAACAGGAUCCCGCUGCAGGUCGUCUGGACGGUGUGACCAGGGACGAUAGUCCUGAGGACUAGGGUCGCUCAGCCUCCAAACCUCUACAGACAUUCAGAGCUGGGAGGACUGCUCACCCGUCUGGAUCGCCUCUGACGAGAUCCACGAACUCAGAUUCAAACUCAAAUCCUAAUUUGGCUCGGCUCGAACUGAGCGCGAUGAGGGUAAAUCCGGAUCUGGACUCCUUUCCCACCAUCAGCAGAAGAACCGAAGGAGAAGAAGCGCCGACCAACAACCAGAACAGGGUGGAAGCUCUGACACCACAGCAGCUGGAGGACACAGACCACAGCAUGGACGCCUCACAGACUCCCACAACGUCUGCAGCCAUCACGUUCUGGGCUCAUCAGAUGAACCAGCUACUACAAGCGUGUGUGUCUGACACAGACACCUGCUUAUGACAAUCAGCAAAGGAAAACAAGGACAGAGCAACAGCAGAGAAGACGUGCUCUGACACAGACACUGGUUGAAACAACAGGAGAGGCUUCAGACGUGAUCGGCCCAAUAGAGCUGCAUCUGAGGAUCCAGGAAAGGUCUGUCAUCGAGGAACAACUGUCCCAUUGAAAGGCUUCACCCACUGGCGCUCACAUCAGACUGAUGGUUGGGGAAGGAGGAAGGUGAUGGUUCCUUUUCACGUGACGUACAAGACGGUACCGCAAACAUACACACACAUUCAUACACGCAAUGAAGAAACACGCUUACAGCUGAUACACGCUCAAAUUCAUGUUCAUGCUUAUCUGCUCGCAAUGAAGAAUUGCUUUUUGCUCAAAAAGAAUCCCACAGAGUGAUUUUAAAAUGAUGACAAACAGCUAAAUGAAAACUGCUGCAUGACUUUACAGUCUGAUGGGUUUAAACUAUUUCAAUUUGCAACAAUUUCAGUAAUAAAAUCCUCCAUGUUUCUAAAACGAUUUGUGCACAAUAUAGGUUUGUCUGGCCAGACUGUAGGAAAACAAAACAAAACCAGACUGUAGAAAAACAAAACAGACUAUAGGAAGACUGAAACUGACUGAAACAGACUAUCAAUGACUAUUAAAGGGAAGAUGACUAUUAGAGAGAAAUAAUAAUAAUUACUGUACGUACCAGAUUAUUAAAGAAAAACUUAUUCUUUCACUGUCAUGUGCAACAUCUGACAGCAAGACACCUUAACAUUCAUUGUUGCUUUCAAACUUAUGCCCAGUUAAAUUCUUAAGAAGAGAUCUCAUGUGUAGUUUAGGUAUUUGAUUGAUUUCCACUCCAGACUACUCCACUCCAGGUUACAUCUACAGACAUUCUAAAUAAUCCCUCUUUUGUUGGUGUUAACUUCAGCUCAGCUGUGCUCUUAUCAUUGGCUGCUGAGGGGGGGCUGUAACUGAGGCCCUCACACAGGCUGCAUCACAGCUUGUUUAUGAUUUCACACACACACACUGACAAACUAACCUCAACUUCCCUCUUUUGGGAAGAACACAGGUCUGCGCUUGUGAUUUCUUUUACUAACGAACAAAAAGAUUUUGAUGUUUAUUCUACAGCUCCACACGUCCCUCUGUGAAAACAUGAUGGAGACAGAUGACAGGACGUGGGUCCUUUCGUGAACAGAUGUCAACGGGGUGGAGACUGGUGAACGACUUCUGACCCCAUGUGACGUAUUCACCUACUUUACAUACUUUUAGAAAACCUUUCUUUUUUAUUCUGCCCGUCAUGUGCAGCAAACAGUGAACUGGGUACCUCCACAUUCUAAUGACACACUACAUGCUUUUGUUUUUAUUUUUAUUUUUCAGAGGACACUCUGACCCAACACUCAGCCUUACAGGAAGCCCUGCUUCCCUGUGGCUCACACACAGACAUGAUGUAGGUUUGAUCAGAGGAUGUGAACCAGUGGUCAUCACACCUAAAUCUGACCACAGACCAUGUAAACAACAACACCCUCUGAAAGAAGCCAUAGAUGGCGUUACUGCAGACACCACUAAGCUACUGAAUCAUUGGAUGCUACAGGCCACAAAGAGAGCCUGUCUAAAUUACAGUUUGUUCAGACUAAGGUUAUUUUCUGGGUCAUUGUAAUUACAGCUGAUGGCAAAUCCAUCUCACCCAACAGAGUUAAAGCAAUUUGAAACCUGCCUAAACCCUGCACGUAUAAACAGCUGAUGUCUUUUCUAGGUUUUUGUUCUUAUUGUAGGAACUUCAUUCCUAAUUUUACUGUCUUUGAGGCCCCACUCAGGGUUCUGAUGCAGACGUCUUCAUCGUCCACUUCUUGUCUCACGUGGACGUCUGAGGCUGAACAACGUUCACCGACCUCAUGCUUGCUCUUCAGUCGACUCCUACUUUGGGUCUUCCUGAUCUGACCCUACGCGACCUUUCACUCAAACAGUGGAUGAGAAAUCAGGUUGUACGACUUCUGUUCUUUUGUCCUCAUACUUUGAUUCUUUUGGAAUAGAUCACAUCUUUCUACAGCCUGAUGGCUUAGAUGCGACACCACCUUGCUCAACAUGCUGAACGUUACUAUCAAGAGGUCGUCUUGAAGUCUAGUGCUUUGCUAAGACACUACUCUGCUCAGGCUGCAGAGUUGAUCGUAUUGACUGAAGCUAGUAAACUAGCAGAAGGAGAGUCUGUUACCAUCUACAGACUCCACAGACGCUCUGUGGAAGCAUAGGAAGCUUUUGAAGUCUGAUUGCAAACCUAUCUCACAUCAUGAUUAGGUUCUGCUUUGCUGGACGCUGUCCUGCUACAGUACCUACAGCUAAUGCUGUUUGUAACCGUCCGACUCACAUCAUCAGUGACGAUUUUGUUUGUGCCGACAUGCAGCUGCAGACGCUGCUGCGAAGGUCGCUGCCCAACAACCCCUCCCUCUCCUGAUCCUUGUUCCCUCUCUAACUCUCUCUAUCCUUUCCUUCCUCAUCUCCCUGUGCUUUAAACAUUUUCUACCUCACAGGAACGCAGACUCUGGCUGACGCAUGGUUCCACCUGUAGCCAUGGAGUCUGGUUUGGGCCUGACGGCAGCCGUGCCGCCCAAACACCUUUUCCCCAUAAUUCAGAUUUCCCAACAGGUGAAAGCAGUCGACAGAACCAUUACACCAUCCAACCAGGGCACUGGGCGAUCGUUAAGGAGUUCAGGAGGAAGCGCUGGGACUCCAAACGGUGGCGAGGCCCCUUCCAGGUCCUUCUGACGACCCACACGGCUGUAAAGAUCGCAGAGAGAGUGACUUGGAUCCACUCCAUCCAGGAAGGUCCCGGAUCCGACAGACGACCCUCCAUCUACAUCCCACAGAGAAAACCACCACUAAAGAAAAGAAUUAAGAAGGACGACCCUCGCUGUGCUCACACACGCACUGAGGCGAGGCUGCGUUGACCGUUCAGCUAAAGGUGUGAGCCAAGCGCCGCCUGAAGCUGCACUAUCAGACCAUACAUCUACACACACGCUCCUGAGAAAACACACACACGAGCAGCCUUGAGUUGCCGACGCUGGACGACGUGUAGACUCUUCACAUCACAGGAGUGACAGUGACUCAGACGACAUUGGGAGGAAACCUGGCGGUGAUAACGAAUCCCAAGUGUGUCUGUGAUCAGCUGAUCACAACCUGAAGAACCCCAACGAACUGGCAAUACAUCAACACACAGGUUGGAAACAAUCUAACACUACUGUUCAACAGGAAGAACCAGAUUGUUACAGACAUCAAUUGUAACCAUGCUUUGUUAAACUUCAUUUUAUGUUACAUAUAUUAUUGCCUUUAUCAUAUGAUGUUUCUAUGUAACUUUACACACUACUUUUGAAUGAGAAAAUUCACAACAACAACAACACUGAGUUUAAAUAUCCUGAAGUUGACUUGGUGUUUAAUUUGCUCACAAUCACUUAUUCACUGCUACAAAAAUUUUUAUCCUUCAUCUACAGAUGAAAGACAACACAAGCGGCAAUAUGCAUCAUCAUUCUGGUUAAAUCCCUGAAUCUCCUAUUCGCUCUAGACGCAAAUGUACAAUUAAAGAUUAGAAAGCAUGAAAUCUAUCUUAAGAUUAUAUGAUACAGAACCCCAUCGGAAACCUAUGGCUAUCAUACAUUAAUUGUCUUUAUUACAUUACAAUCGAAUGGCCGUAGACAUGUUGUUAGCAGAGACAAGAGGCCUUUGUGUUAUGUUUGGAAACGCAUGUUGUACUUACAUCCUGAAUAACACUGAUUCUAAUGGUAUUGUGGCGAAGGCGCUCCACGGCCUUCAGAAUCUCAGCUAACUCUGGUAUAGAUUCUUCCUCUUGGAAUUGGCUAGACGAAAUGUCUGGAAAAUGGAAAUCUGUUCUCAUGUCCGCAGCUGUUUCCUUUAUCAUUGAGAUGGCUGUGAUUCUCUUGUUUGGUUUUUGCGUUAUCCCACUGGUUAAAGGUCUCAUCAUGCGUGCGACCUCAGCAACACUCUCGUAUCAAAUGACACAAUGCACUAUGUUCAAAAACCCCAACUCUAAUUCACUUAAUGACUUUGACGAUGGUAUGGGCUCAUUUUCUUCACAUGCCGAUACAGAGGUUAUUCUUGUAUAACUACCCACCAAAACAGCUCCCAACCUUUUGUCCCUAAGUUACUUGCAUUUUAUAUGGAGGUGUAUUUUGAAUCUUGAUGAGUUAAUACCCUUAUUGUUUCAUUUGCAUGGAUUACAGAAUGUGAUGUUGACAAUUUUUAUUCUUUUAGUGGUUGAUUAAUGUGUAAUCAAAAGGGGGGAGUGUUAUGGGAAAAAUUGUCUCUUCCUUAUUUCUAUGUGUCUUCCGUUCUUCUAUGCAGUUAUUAUAUGAUUUAUGACUUAUGUUCUGCAAUUAAUAUCUUAUGUUUUGUCUUACUGUAUGCAUUUGACAUUUCACCUAGAUUGUUCAAUGGUUGUCUCUGCCUGAUAGACUCUCAACUCUAGCUCUAAACCCAAGGUCGGGGAGUUGUGUCUCUGUCUGUUGAGACUUGGUGCUCCUUUCUCACAGAUAGUUGGACGUCAGCGAUGCAGGUGUGAGAAAGUAAAAAUCUUCACACACACUGCGACAGGGAGGAGAUGGUGCAUGUAAUUUGAUUGGGUUAGAAAGACAUUCCACCCUAGUCGGACAGAGAAGCUAAAAGGCAGAAGCAACUUGAGGAUCGUGGGCUCUUUGCAUCACACCUUCGUGGUGUGUGCACUGAUCUCCCCAGCUGGUUUUUGGUUUGUUGAUGUGCACGAUCAACAUCCAUGCUUUUUAUUUGCUUUCCCCAUUAUUUUUAUUUUCUUUAUUAUUUCAAUAAAUCGCACAAAAGGACAA
Molecule: long non-coding RNA, 8641 nt
Organism: Betta splendens (Siamese fighting fish)
Lineage: Eukaryota; Metazoa; Chordata; Actinopteri; Anabantiformes; Osphronemidae
Exons: 7
Source: RefSeq, a predicted model, not a curated record